This 120-nucleotide ribosomal RNA is filed under the name uncultured bacterium. Its description in RNAcentral is "partial 16S ribosomal RNA". It matches the Rfam family "Bacterial small subunit ribosomal RNA", at positions 796 to 914 of the family's 1533-position model. The record is from RNAcentral.
CACGCAGUAAACGGUGAUCACUAGGUGUAGCGGGUAUUGACCCCUGCUGUGCCGCAGCUAACGCAUUAAGUGAUCCGCCUGGAGAGUACGAUCGCAAGGUUAAAACUCAAAGGAAUUGAC